GGUGUUCCUUAUCUAUCGCUAAUAAUUGGUUUAGUUGGAGCCUGUCUUCCUGUAUUCACUAAGGUAAACACACGAAGACAGGCCCAUUGCUUUCGUUGCCGCAUUCAGAUCCCGU
This 115-nucleotide small RNA is filed under the name Sodalis ligni. RNAcentral describes it as "tp2". It matches the Rfam family "tp2". Lineage: Bacteria; Pseudomonadati; Pseudomonadota; Gammaproteobacteria; Enterobacterales; Bruguierivoracaceae. The record is from Rfam by way of RNAcentral.